Molecule: non-coding RNA, 48 nt
Filed under: Trichobilharzia regenti
Lineage: Eukaryota; Metazoa; Platyhelminthes; Trematoda; Strigeidida; Schistosomatidae
Source: RNAcentral
GGCUAGCUGACGAGUCCCAAAUAAGACGAAAUGCGUGUUAUUCUGGAU